Molecule: ribosomal RNA, 301 nt
Filed under: uncultured bacterium
Lineage: Bacteria
Description: partial 16S ribosomal RNA
Rfam family: Bacterial small subunit ribosomal RNA
Source: RNAcentral
CAGCCGCCGCGGGAAUACGUAGGUGGCAAGCGUUGUCCGGAAUUAUUGGGCGUAAAUGGCUCGCAGGCGGUUUCUUAAGUCUGAUGUGAAAGCCCCCGGCUCAACCGGGGAGGGUCAUUGGAAACUGGGAAACUUGAGUGCAGAAGAGGAGAGUGGAAUUCCACGUGUAGCGGUGAAAUGCGUAGAGAUGUGGAGGAACACCAGUGGCGAAGGCGACUCUCUGGUCUGUAACUGACGCUGAGGAGCGAAAGCGUGGGGAGCGAACAGGAUUAGAUACCCCAGUAGUCCCUGUCUCUUAUAA